RNAcentral lists this ribosomal RNA (478 nucleotides) under uncultured bacterium. RNAcentral describes it as "partial 16S ribosomal RNA". It matches the Rfam family "Bacterial small subunit ribosomal RNA", at positions 28 to 523 of the family's 1533-position model. The record is from RNAcentral.
GACGAACGCUGGCGGCAUGCUUAACACAUGCAAGUCGAACGGUAAGGCCCUUCGGGGUACACGAGUGGCGAACGGGUGAGUAACACGUGGGUGAUCUGCCCUGCACUUCGGGAUAAGCCUGGGAAACUGGGUCUAAUACCGGAUAGGACUCCGGACUGCAUGGUCUGGGGUGGAAAGCUUUUGCGGUGUGGGAUGGGCCCGCGGCCUAUCAGCUUGGUGGUGGGGUGAUGGCCUACCAAGGCGACGACGGGUAGCCGGCCUGAGAGGGUGACCGGCCACACUGGGACUGGGAUACGGCCCAGACUCCUACGGGAGGCAGCAGUGGGGAAUAUUGCACAAUGGGCGCAAGCCUGAUGCAGCGACGCCGCGUGAGGGAUGACGGCCUUCGGGUUGUAAACCUCUUUCAGCAUCGACGAAGCGAAAGUGACGGUAGGUGCAGAAGAAGGACCGGCCAACUACGUGCCAGCAGCCGCCGUAA